AGAGUUUGAUCAUGGCUCAGGAUGAACGCUGGCGGCGUGCUUAACACAUGCAAGUCGAGCGAGAAAUCGGGAAAUGAAGCUUCGGUAGAUUUGAACGAUGGAAAGCGGCGGACGGGUGAGUAACACGUGGGAAACCUGCCUUUUGCAGAGGGACAGCCGAGGGAAACUUCGAUUAAUACCUCAUAACGCAUCAUCGUCGCAUGGCGGAGAUGCCAAAGAUUUAUCGGCAAGAGAUGGUCCCGCGUCUGAUUAGCUGGUUGGUGAGGUAGCGGCUCACCAAGGCGACGAUCAGUAGCCGGCCUGAGAGGGUGAACGGUCACAUUGGAACUGAGACACGGUCCAGACUCCUACGGGAGGCAGCAGUGGGGAAUAUUGCACAAUGGGCGCAAGCCUGAUGCAGCAACGCCGCGUGAAGGAUGAAGGCCUUCGGGUCGUAAACUUCUGUCCAAAGGGAAGAACAAAUGACGGUACCUUUGGAGGAAGCCCCGGCUAACUACGUGCCAGCAGCCGCGGUAAUACGUAGGGGGCAAGCGUUAUCCGGAAUUACUGGGCGUAAAGAGUGCGUAGGUGGCACUGUAAGCGCAGGGUUUAAGGCAACGGCCCAACCGUUGUUUGCCCUGCGAACUGCAGAGCUUGAGUGCAGGAGGGGAAAGUGGAAUUCCUAGUGUAGCGGUGAAAUGCGUAGAUAUUAGGAGGAACACCGGUGGCGAAGGCGACUUUCUGGACUGUAACUGACACUGAGGCACGAAAGCGUGGGUAGCAAACAGGAUUAGAUACCCUGGUAGUCCACGCCGUAAACGAUGAGCACUAGGUGUCGGGCUCGCAAGAGUUCGGUGCCGGAGCAAACGCAUUAAGUGCUCCGCCUGGGGAGUACGCACGCAAGUGUGAAACUCAAAGGAAUUGACGGGGACCCGCACAAGCAGCGGAGCAUGUGGUUUAAUUCGAAGCAACGCGAAGAACCUUACCAGGGCUUGACAUCCUCCUGACGUAUCGGGUAAUGCUGAUAUUCUCUUCGGAGCAGGAGUGACAGGUGGUGCAUGGUUGUCGUCAGCUCGUGUCGUGAGAUGUUGGGUUAAGUCCCGCAACGAGCGCAACCCUUAUGUUUAGUUGCUACGCAAGAGCACUCUAGACAGACUGCCGUUGACAAAACGGAGGAAGGUGGGGACGACGUCAAAUCAUCAUGCCCCUUACGUUCCGGGCUACACACGUACUACAAUGGUGAGAACAAAGGGAAGCGAUACCGCGAGGUGGAGCGAAUCCCAUAAAAAUCAUCCCAGUUCGGACUGCAGGCUGCAACUCGCCUGCACGAAGUUGGAAUUGCUAGUAAUCGCGGAUCAGCAUGCCGCGGUGAAUACGUUCCCGGGCUUUGUACACACCGCCCGUCAAACCAUGAAAGUUGGGAACACCCGAAGCCUGUGAGCUAACCGCAAGGAGGCAGCAGUCGAAGGUGGGUUCAAUGAUUGGGGUUAAGUCGUAACAAGGUAACCGUA
Molecule: ribosomal RNA, 1490 nt
Filed under: uncultured rumen bacterium
Lineage: Bacteria
Description: 16S ribosomal RNA
Rfam family: Bacterial small subunit ribosomal RNA
Source: RNAcentral